AUAAGCAAUUAUACCGUGAAACUGCGAAUGGCUCAUUAAAUCAGUUAUCGUUUAUUUGAUAAUACCUUACUACUUGGAUAACCGUGGUAAUUCUAGAGCUAAUACAUGCUGAAAAUCCCGACUUCGGAAGGGAUGUGUUUAUUAGAUAAAAAACCAAUGCCCUUCGGGGCUCCUUGGUGAUUCAUGAUAACUUUACGGAUCGCAUAGCCUUGCGCUGGCGACGGUUCAUUCAAAUUUCUGCCCUAUCAACUUUCGAUGGUAAGGUAUUGGCUUACCAUGGUUUCAACGGGUAACGGGGAAUUAGGGUUCGAUUCCGGAGAGGCAGCCUGAGAAACGGCUACCACAUCCAAGGAAGGCAGCAGGCGCGCAAAUUACCCAAUCCCGACACGGGGAGGUAGUGACAAUAAAUACUGAUACAGGGCUCUUUUGGGUCUUGUAAUUGGAAUGAGUACAAUUCAAAUCUCUUAACGAGGAACAAUUGGAGGGCAAGUCUGGGCACGG
This 501-nucleotide ribosomal RNA is filed under the name Alternaria sp. N2. RNAcentral's name for it is "SSU rRNA". It matches the Rfam family "Eukaryotic small subunit ribosomal RNA", at positions 65 to 570 of the family's 1831-position model. Lineage: Eukaryota; Fungi; Ascomycota; Dothideomycetes; Pleosporales; Pleosporaceae. The record is from RNAcentral.